Molecule: ribosomal RNA, 511 nt
Filed under: uncultured bacterium
Lineage: Bacteria
Description: partial 16S ribosomal RNA
Rfam family: Bacterial small subunit ribosomal RNA
Source: RNAcentral
GACGAACGCUGGCGGCGUGCCUAAUACAUGCAAGUCGAGCGGAUUUUCGGAAGCUUGCUUCCGAAAAUUAGCGGCGGACGGGUGAGUAACACGUGGGCAACCUGCCUGUAAGACUGGGAUAACUUCGGGAAACCGGAGCUAAUACCGGAUACAUUCUUCCCUCGCAUGAGGGAAGAUGGAAAGACGGUUUUGCUGUCACUUACAGAUGGGCCCGCGGCGCAUUAGCUAGUUGGUGGGGUAAUGGCCCACCAAGGCGACGAUGCGUAGCCGACCUGAGAGGGUGAUCGGCCACACUGGGACUGAGACACGGCCCAGACUCCUACGGGAGGCAGCAGUAGGGAAUCUUCCGCAAUGGACGAAAGUCUGACGGAGCAACGCCGCGUGAGCGAAGAAGGCCUUCGGGUCGUAAAGCUCUGUUGUCAGGGAAGAACAAGUACCAUAGUAACUGAUGGUACCUUGAUGGUACCUGACCAGAAAGCCACGGCUAACUACGUGCCAGCAGCCGCCGCUG